ACGGGUGAGUAACGCGUGGGAAUCUACCGUACCCUACGGAAUAGCUCUGGGAAACUGGAAGUAAUACCGUAUACGCCCUUCGGGGGAAAGAUUUAUCGGGGUAUGAUGAGCCCGCGUUGGAUUAGCUAGUUGGUGGGGUAAAGGCCUACCAAGGCGACGAUCCAUAGCUGGUCUGAGAGGAUGAUCAGCCACAUUGGGACUGAGACACGGCCCAAACUCCUACGGGAGGCAGCAGUGGGGAAUAUUGGACAAUGGGCGCAAGCCUGAUCCAGCCAUGCCGCGUGAGUGAUGAAGGUCUUAGGAUUGUAAAGCUCUUUCACCGGAGAAGAUAAUGACGGUAUCUGGAGAAGAAGCCCCGGCUAACUUCGUGCCAGCAGCCGCGGUAAUACGAAGGGGGCUAGCGUUGUUCGGAAUUACUGGGCGUAAAGCGCACGUAGGCGGGUAUUUAAGUCAGGGGUGAAAUCCCAGAGCUCAACUCUGGAACUGCCUUUGAUACUGGGUAUCUUGAGUAUGGAAGAGGUAAGUGGAAUUGCGAGU
RNAcentral lists this ribosomal RNA (537 nucleotides) under uncultured bacterium. Its description in RNAcentral is "bacterial SSU rRNA". It matches the Rfam family "Bacterial small subunit ribosomal RNA", at positions 102 to 674 of the family's 1533-position model. The record is from RNAcentral.